Molecule: long non-coding RNA, 2749 nt
Organism: Ailuropoda melanoleuca (giant panda)
Lineage: Eukaryota; Metazoa; Chordata; Mammalia; Carnivora; Ursidae
Source: Ensembl
AUGUUCUUUCUGCUCCGCUGCGCAGCCAGUGAUACCCGGGGCCUCAUGCAUGAGAGAAAGACGUUCACCCAACUGAAGCUUCAGGUGACAGUCCCAGAGGAGGGAAGCCAGAGGACUUUUAUUUCCCCUGGUAACUUCCUUGUGAAUCCAGGCAGACGCUACCCCAUCAGGUGGAGAAAGUGCUACGUAAGUCCCAACUAUGGGAAGGAUUUCUUAAAAUUUCUUAAAAUUACCUCUCAACUUCUAGAGGAUCCCUAAUGCCCAUGCCCAGGGAGUUCAUUCUCUCACCCCAUUCCAUAAAUCAGAACAAGGCCCAUCUCAGCCUCCUUUUUGAGGACUGUAAUCCCUUGUCCUCCUACCCCAUCCUAUAUGGCCCUUCACCCUCCAUCACUCACCUACCCUCUGCUGGCCUCCUACUGGCUCCAGGGUGUUCUCCUGAGGUAUAGUGAUAAGACCUCCCCCGUCUAUCAUUCAGGGUCCCAACAGGAAUAGGAGAGCACACUGAACAUAAGAUAGAUUUAUAAAUGUGUAGGUACAGGGGAACCCCAAGGGAUAGUGCUGUAACUUGGGGCCAGCAGCAGAACUAUUACCAACCCCUCUCAAGGGAAGGAAGUAUACUCUGUUACCAGAAUCCAGAGAACCUGGAAGGAGUCAAGUGACCAAAGGACACAGCCAGGCAGGGGACCUCACCAGGAGGCAGCCAGAUGAAUAGGUACCUUCGUGCUACUCUCCUCUCUGCCCCUCCGUCCCAUCCCCAUCUCCUGUGGAGCUCUCCACUGGUCAAACCCACCUGAAGCCAGAGGGACCUCGAUGUGAGGUCUGUAAUUGUCAGGGAGUCCUGUACAACAGGAAUUCUCAUGAGGGCUGUGACCACCCCCGAGGAGACAAAUCCUGGCUCUUGGGACGUGAAAAAAAUCUUAGAUAUCCCAGUGGCUGGUGGCCCUCCAAAGGUCCACAGCAUAUAAAAAGAUACACAGUAUAUGCAUGCAAUUAAAAUUUCAUGGGGGUGGUGCAAUUGGCAUAAAAGUAUCCACAAGAGUACUUGCCACGGGAGGGGGCAAUAAUGAAAAAUAGGUUAAGCAGCACUGGAUUAUAGAGACCCAAAGCUCUUUCUUGCGCUGUCACUGAGAGCUUCAAUCUGUCACCGUCAAAAGUACAAUUUAUACUACUCUUCUCUAAACUGGUGUAUGUAACAAUAUACAUCUAUAUGUAUUCUCUGUGCAAUGUAUAAUAAAAACAAAGUGCAGUUUGAUUAUUUUUCUCCUAAUGCUUUCCUCCACCUACCCUUGCCCACGCUGUCCAUCAGAGCGCUCACGAGUCUCCAGCGUCUCCCUGCAGCUUCCGGCUUUCGGUCAAGAUUUCUCCACAAGGAAGAGCUCCGCGUCAUUGGUGAACCAGGCAGUUUCAACGUACAGCUCCCUCCUCUCUCGAGAGCUCAAGCCACAAUAUAUUUAAGUGCUAAUCAUUGCAAUGAAUACUGAAUUAUCAGACAUGCCCCUGCCUUUCAGGCCCUCACAAUGUCACUAGAGAUGUCACAAAAACGUCACUAGGGCUGUCACAACCUCUACGAGGUAAUAGAUGAACUGUGACGAUAGGGCAAGGAAGCUGAUUUGCACAGGUGGGUUGGGAAGGCAGAGCACCUGACGGUCCCAUCUCAAAUCGCUAAGGGCCAGUUAACCUGGUUAACCGGGACCCUCAGGAGCAUCAGUUCCCGAACCAGAAGUCCUACCAUUAACACUUUUCCAUCCAGAGAAAGGCUUAUUUAUCCUUACUCCAUAUUUCUUAUCUCUAAGCCAGUUCACUAUGGCCACCAGACAUUCCCCCCAUUCCCAUGGUGACUCAACAGGCUUUGGUGUGGAGUCUGUCAGAAGCUUCUUAAAAGUGUAAAUAGAGUGUGUCUACUGUUUCGCCCUUAUCCGUACACUUAUUUGGCCCUUCAAAGAGCUCUAGUAGAUUAGGGAGGCACGAUUUCCCCUCACCAAAGACAGGCUGCCUUUCCACAGGAGGUGGGGUUUGCUCAAGUGCCCCAUAAUCCUGCUGUGAGAGGUGCUGCGGACUGGCUUGGCGUGGAAACAAAACUUGUGGGCCAUUUCCCAGAAGCCCCUCUGGCACCCUUAGGUUCUUGAGCACAGAGGUCAGUCAUCAGAAAAGGCUCUCCUUUCGUCCUGUUCUUCCAUGAGGUUGAUCUUCUUACUUAUCUGGGGAAAGACGUGUAGGCAAAAUGAAAAUAGAGUGUGCUUGCUUUCCAUGACUCGGAGAUUUGAGGCACUCUUAGGCAUCUGAACUCAUACAGAAGAUAGUGGUAAGGUUAUCUGUAUCGCAUUUCGUUUUAUGACAUAUCACCUUGUUUACACCCCUCUUUAGGAUGUUUAUAGGAUAUAGAAUACCUUUAAAUGCUCUGGUCCUGUUUAGCAAUCUUUUUUUCUCCCAACAAUAAAAAAUUUUAAAGGCAGCAAUUGUUCUAAGAAAUGACUAUUGUACUUAAGGCACAAAGAUGCUUUAAUGGGGAAAGACAGUUUGUCUUGUAUCUUGGCCUCCUGUAUCUUUUUGAACCAGGCUUUGAUGCUCUGUGGAGCUUUCUGACUCCAUCGUCGAGCUAUGCAGCAUUUUGCAGUUAUUAAGAGCAAAUGAGUUUCUUCUUUAAACACAGACCUCUGCUUAGCACAUUUAGUACUAUUUGACUUGGGUCUCAAGAUAGCGCUGUUCCCGGAAUGGACUUCACAUGCUGAAAAUUUUUUUUUAAUUACCC